AUUGAACGCUGGCGGCAUGCCUUACACAUGCAAGUCGAACGGCAGCACGGGAGCAAUCCUGGUGGCGAGUGGCGAACGGGUGAGUAAUAUAUCGGAACGUGCCCAGUCGUGGGGGAUAACGUAGCGAAAGCUACGCUAAUACCGCAUACUAUCUAUGGAUGAAAGCGGGGGAUCGCAAGACCUCGCGCGAUUGGAGCGGCCGAUAUCAGAUUAGGUAGUUGGUGAGGUAAAGGCUCACCAAGCCGACGAUCUGUAGCUGGUCUGAGAGGACGACCAGCCACACUGGGACUGAGACACGGCCCAGACUCCUACGGGAGGCAGCAGUGGGGAAUUUUUGGACAAUGGGCGCAAGCCUGAUCCAGCAAUGCCGCGUGCAGGAUGAAGGCCUCGGUUGUAAC
This 398-nucleotide ribosomal RNA is filed under the name uncultured bacterium. Its description in RNAcentral is "bacterial SSU rRNA". It matches the Rfam family "Bacterial small subunit ribosomal RNA", at positions 30 to 429 of the family's 1533-position model. The record is from RNAcentral.